Molecule: ribosomal RNA, 440 nt
Filed under: uncultured bacterium
Lineage: Bacteria
Description: partial 16S ribosomal RNA
Rfam family: Bacterial small subunit ribosomal RNA
Source: RNAcentral
CCUACGGGUGGCAGCAGUGGGGGAUAUUGCACAAUGGGGGAAACCCUGAUGCAGCGACGCCGCGUGAGUGAAGAAGUACUUCGGGAUGUAAAGCUCUAUCAGCAGGGAAGAAAAUGACGGUACCUGAGUAAGAAGCCCCGGCUAACUACGUGCCAGCAGCCGCGGGAAUACGUAGGGGGCAAGCGUUAUCCGGAAUUACGGGGUGUAAAGGGAGCGUAGACGGGAGCACAAGUCUGGAGGUAAAUUCCGGGGCUUAACCCCGGAACUGCUUUGGAAACUGUGCAGCUAGAGUGCAGGAGAGGUAAGUGGAAUUCCUAGUGUAGCGGUGAAAUGCGUAGAUAUUAGGAGGAACACCAGUGGCGAAGGCGGCUUACUGGACUGUAACUGACGUUGAGGCUCGAAAGCGUGGGGAGCAAACAGGAUUAGAUACCCCUGUAGUC